RNAcentral lists this ribosomal RNA (1358 nucleotides) under uncultured bacterium. RNAcentral's name for it is "bacterial SSU rRNA". It matches the Rfam family "Bacterial small subunit ribosomal RNA", at positions 28 to 1381 of the family's 1533-position model. The record is from RNAcentral.
GAUGAACGCUAGCUACAGGCUUAACACAUGCAAGUCGAGGGGCAGCAUGGUCUUAGCUUGCUAAGGCCGAUGGCGACCGGCGCACGGGUGAGUAACACGUAUCCAACCUGCCGUCUACUCUUGGACAGCCUUCUGAAAGGAAGAUUAAUACAAGAUGGCAUCAUGAGUCCGCAUGUUCACAUGAUUAAAGGUAUUCCGGUAGACGAUGGGGAUGCGUUCCAUUAGAUAGUAGGCGGGGUAACGGCCCACCUAGUCUUCGAUGGAUAGGGGUUCUGAGAGGAAGGUCCCCCACAUUGGAACUGAGACACGGUCCAAACUCCUACGGGAGGCAGCAGUGAGGAAUAUUGGUCAAUGGGCGAGAGCCUGAACCAGCCAAGUAGCGUGAAGGAUGACUGCCCUAUGGGUUGUAAACUUCUUUUAUAAAGGAAUAAAGUCGGGUAUGGAUACCCGUUUGCAUGUACUUUAUGAAUAAGGAUCGGCUAACUCCGUGCCAGCAGCCGCGGUAAUACGGAGGAUCCGAGCGUUAUCCGGAUUUAUUGGGUUUAAAGGGAGCGUAGAUGGAUGUUUAAGUCAGUUGUGAAAGUUUGCGGCUCAACCGUAAAAUUGCAGUUGAUACUGGAUAUCUUGAGUGCAGUUGAGGCAGGCGGAAUUCGUGGUGUAGCGGUGAAAUGCUUAGAUAUCACGAAGAACUCCGAUUGCGAAGGCAGCCUGCUAAGCUGCAACUGACAUUGAGGCUCGAAAGUGUGGGUAUCAAACAGGAUUAGAUACCCUGGUAGUCCACACGGUAAACGAUGAAUACUCGCUGUUUGCGAUAUACUGCAAGCGGCCAAGCGAAAGCGUUAAGUAUUCCACCUGGGAAGUACGCCGGCAACGGUGAAACUCAAAGGAAUUGACGGGGGCCCGCACAAGCGGAGGAACAUGUGGUUUAAUUCGAUGAUACGCGAGGAACCUUACCCGGGCUUAAAUUGCAGAUGAAUUACGGUGAAAGCCGUAAGCCGCAAGGCAUCUGUGAAGGUGCUGCAUGGUUGUCGUCAGCUCGUGCCGUGAGGUGUCGGCUUAAGUGCCAUAACGAGCGCAACCCUUGUUGUCAGUUACUAACAGGUUCCGCUGAGGACUCUGACAAGACUGCCAUCGUAAGAUGUGAGGAAGGUGGGGAUGACGUCAAAUCAGCACGGCCCUUACGUCCGGGGCUACACACGUGUUACAAUGGGGGGUACAGAGGGCCGCUACCACGCGAGUGGAUGCCAAUCCCCAAAACCUCUCUCAGUUCGGACUGGAGUCUGCAACCCGACUCCACGAAGCUGGAUUCGCUAGUAAUCGCGCAUCAGCCACGGCGCGGUGAAUACGUUCCCGGGCCU